This is an RNA transcript of Arachis stenosperma, 1928 nucleotides long. RefSeq lists it as uncharacterized. Lineage: Eukaryota; Viridiplantae; Streptophyta; Magnoliopsida; Fabales; Fabaceae. The transcript is spliced from 5 exons. The record is from RefSeq and is a predicted model, not a curated record.
UUCAAUUUUCAACAAAUGAUACACAUACAAACACUUAGCCAAAUAAAUUGAAAUCAUAAAACCCCACCUUGUCUUUUCCCUUCUUCGCGCCACCCCCAACCGAGAGAAGACUCUGCGCCAUCACCACUCAUCACCCCCAAAUCAGAGAAGACUCUGCGCGCUAUCACCACUCACUGUAACAUCCCUAAUUUCUAACUGUAAAUCCCAAAAUCCCCAAAUUAACUCAAAAAAUCCUAAUUUCCCCAAUUCCUAACCCUAACAGCCGCAACCUCACCCUUCUUCAACGUAACAAACAAAAGCAGCCACUGUAGAGAGAAGAGGGAUCGGGAGAAGAAGAGCAGAGAGGAAAGGCCUGCCCAGCCGUCACCACCGCAGCGCCGCUGCAGCUAUUGCCACCUUCAGAGCUGCGGAAAGUCGUCCUCCCUGCCGUCGAAUGCCACCGUCGUGUCGCACUUGCGAGAGAGAGAGAGAGACAGAUUCGAGAGGAGCUACCCACGAUCGAUGCCGUCAAAAACAGGCUCUUCGCCGUCACCACCCACGAAGCUGCGAGGAGCCGCUGUCGUGCUCGUGUCGCUGUGCGCCGUCGAGCUUCCCUCACCCUGAGCCGUCGAUCUGUCGCCACCGCUACAAGGGCCUGUCGCUGGAGCCACGAUUGUCACUGAGCUUCCGUCGCCGCUGCCGUUCAAGCCGCUGCUGCCGUCGAUUUGGAGUUGCUGCGAUUGGAGCCACUAGCGGGGAAAUUCAAUGGGUUCAUGAGGAUAGAAUUACAUUGUUCACCGCUGAUGGACUGGUGCAGAUUGGAGGCUCUAUCACCCCUCGCCAUGUUAGCUCUUCAGAUUCUCUCACGCAAACUCAGAACAGAGAGAAAAAAGUUGCCACAAAAUUUAUCAAGACACUACAGUGCCAUUGUUAUUAUAUAUGCGCUGUGAGUUAAGGGAGGGGUAGUACAUUCUAAUAACUACUAAUAACUAAGUCGAUAACAUAAUUUGAUAUAGCAAAGAACUUGGGUUAUGGCACUGUGAAUUUGUGUGAUGUUAGGUUUAUUUGCCUACAAAUUCAUACACUAUAGAAGGAGAAAAGAUGUAUAUCAUGUUAUGGGGUAUUGUGCAUGCAUGGCCAAAGGUGCAGCUGAGACACUUAAAUUGAACAUGGCUAUUAUCUUGUUACCAGUUUGCCGGAACACUAUUACUUGGAUGAGGAAUAAGACCAAGCUUGGCAUCAUGGUUCCUUUUGAUGACAAUCUUAACUUCCACAAGGUGAUAGCUGUGGCAGUAGCAAUUGGUGUUGAAAUACAUGCAAUUUUUCAUCUUUCUUGCGACUUUCCUCGCCUCCUUCGUACAAGCCCUCAAAAGUACAAGCCGCACCUUGAUUCAGGAGAAACAGGGUUAAGCUUCCUAAACCACUCAACAGUCUAACUGGCUUCAAUGCAUUUUGGUACUCACAUCAUCUCUGUCAUUGUCUAUGUCUCGUUGAUUGUUCAUGGAAUCAAACUUUUCUUGACCAAAGAGUGGUACGAGAAAACGGGGUCUGAUUUAGAUAGUUUAUUAGAGGAGAAUAAUGUAACAUCUUCAGCCAAACCAAUUGUUGGCUCAACACCUCUGAAGCAGAAUCAGAGGCAUGAAGGUAGUGCAAGGAUUAUUAGAAGCAUACUCUCAAACAAGGAAAUACUCUCAAACAAAGAAAUGCGCUAAAGUUAGUCAGCCAGGCCUCAAUCGGAACAGGCAGUACCAACAUCUGAUCUACAAAAAGAAAGACAAUCACCUCGCCCUGUACAUGUACAAUUGAUUUUGAAGUAAUUUAUUUUUAGAGAAAUAAAUUUUAUUUUUAGAGAAAUAAUUUGUAUUAUUCCCAAAUAGAAGAUCUUAUGGCUGCAAAUUUAUUAUGGCAACCUAGAUUUUGUUUAAGGAUAAUUUUUAUUAUUUAAAGAA